UCUCCAGGCAUCCAAGCAAAAUGGCACCCGGCCCCGAGAGGUGCUUCUGGUCCUCAGUGUAAACAGCAGUGUCUUUCUGCAUCUCCAGGCCCUGGGAAUCCCACUGCACUUGGCUUACGCAGGGAACACCCACCACAUGCUGGGUGUCAGGGUGAUGCUGGCAUGUCAGGAUCCUGUGAUGGGCCCAGGGCCCAGCACAAAGUCAGACAAAUAUUUGUCAGUGCGUACUAUGUGUCAAGCACUGUGCAAAGAUGGGCAGGAAUUCCAGCCUGGUCACCUUCCAAGAGCCCCCGGGAGUCAACACCACAGAGCUGCCAUCCUUCCCCAAGACCCAGGUCCUCGAGUGGGCAGCUGAGAGGGGCCCCAUCACCUCUGCUGCCGAGCUGAAUGACCCCCAGAGCAUCCUCCUCCAACUGGGCCAAGCCCAGGGGUCACUGUCCUUCUGCAUGCUGGAAGCCAGCCUGGACAUGGGCCGCAGGCUCGAGUGGCGGCCGC
RNAcentral lists this small RNA (495 nucleotides) under Pongo abelii (Sumatran orangutan). RNAcentral's name for it is "processed transcript". Lineage: Eukaryota; Metazoa; Chordata; Mammalia; Primates; Hominidae. The record is from RNAcentral.